UGGGGAAUUUUCCGCAAUGGGCGCAAGCCUGACGGAGCAAGACCGCGUGAGGGAGGAAGGCCCUUGGGUUGUAAACCUCUUUUCUCAGGGAAGAAGAAAGUGACGGUACCUGAGGAAUCAGCCUCGGCUAACUCCGUGCCAGCAGCCGCGGUAAUACGGAGGAGGCAAGCGUUAUCCGGAAUCAUUGGGCGUAAAGCGUUCGCAGGCGGCGAUUCAAGUCUGCUGUCAAAGCCCGCAGCUCAACUGCGGACAGGCUGUGGAAACUGAAUCGCUAGUGUGCGGCAGGGGUAGAGGGAAGUCCCGGGGUAGCGGUGAAAUGCGUAGAUAGCGGGAAGAACACCAGUGGCGAAAGCGCUCGACUGGGCCGCAACUGACGCUCAGGGACGAAAGCGAGGGGAGCGAAAGGGAUUAGAUACCCCCGUAGUCC
RNAcentral lists this ribosomal RNA (427 nucleotides) under uncultured prokaryote. RNAcentral describes it as "bacterial SSU rRNA". It matches the Rfam family "Bacterial small subunit ribosomal RNA", at positions 355 to 796 of the family's 1533-position model. The record is from RNAcentral.